AAAAGGUGGCUAUACUACCGCUUUUGGAUGGGCCCGCGGCGCAUUAGCUAGUUGGUAGGGUAAAGGCUUACCAAGGCAAUGAUGCGUAGCCGAAUUGAGAGGUUGAUCGGCCACAUUGGGACUGAGACACGGCCCAAACUCCUACGGGAGGCAGCAGUAGGGAAUCUUCCACAAUGGGCGAAAGCCUGAUGGAGCAACGCCGCGUGGGUGAAGAAGGUCUUCGGAUCGUAAAACCCUGUUGUUAGAGAAGAAAGUGCGUGAGAGUAACUGUUCACGUUUCGACGGUAUCUAACCGGAAAGCCACGGCUAACUACGUGCCAGCAGCCGCGGUAAUACGUAGGUGGCAAGCGUUAUCCGGAUUUAUUGGGCGUAAAGGGAACGCAGGCGGUCUUUUAAGUCUGAUGUGAAAGCCUUCGGCUUAACCGGAGUAGUGCAUUGGAAACUGGGAGACUUGAGUGCAGAAGAGGAGAGUGGAACUCCAUGUGUAGCGGUGAAAUGCGUAGAUAUAUGGAAGAACACCAGUGGCGAAAGCGGCUCUCUGGUCUGUAACUGACGCUGAGGUUCGAAAGCGUGGGUAGCAAACAGGAUUAGAUACCCUGGUAGUCCACGCCGUAAACGAUGAAUGCUAAGUGUUGGAGGGUUUCCGCCCUUCA
Molecule: ribosomal RNA, 653 nt
Filed under: uncultured bacterium
Lineage: Bacteria
Description: bacterial SSU rRNA
Rfam family: Bacterial small subunit ribosomal RNA
Source: RNAcentral